Molecule: ribosomal RNA, 464 nt
Filed under: uncultured bacterium
Lineage: Bacteria
Description: partial 16S ribosomal RNA
Rfam family: Bacterial small subunit ribosomal RNA
Source: RNAcentral
CUACGGGCCGCAGCAGUGGGGAAUAUUGCACAAUGGGCGCAAGCCUGAUGCAGCCAUGCCGCGUGUAUGAAGAAGGCCUUCGGGUUGUAAAGUACUUUCAGCGGGGAGGAAGGGAGUAAAGUUAAUACCUUUGCUCAUUGACGUUACCCGCAGAAGAAGCACCGGCUAACUCCGUGCCAGCAGCCGCGGUAAUACGGAGAGUGCAAGCGUUAAUCGGAAUUACUGGGCGUAAAGCGCACGCCGGCGGUUUGUUAAGUCAGAUGUGAAAUCCCCGGGCUCAACCUGGGAACUGCAUCUGAUACUGGCAAGCUUGAGUCUCGUAGAGGGGGGUAGAAUUCCAGGUGCAGCGGUGAAAUGCGUAGAGAUCUGGAGGAAUACCGGUGGCGAAGGCGGCCCCCUGGACGAAGACUGACGCUCAGGUGCGAAAGCGUGGGGAGCAAACAGGAUUAGAUACCCGUGUAGUC